UACGUAGGGUGCAAGCGUUAAUCGGACUUACUGGGCGUAAAGCGUGCGCAGGCGGUUUUGUAAGUCUGAUGUGAAAUCCCCGGGCUCAACCUGGGAAUUGCAUUGGAGACUGCAAGGCUAGAAUCUGGCAGAGGGGGGUAGAAUUCCACGUGUAGCAGUGAAAUGCGUAGAGAUGUGGAGGAACACCGAUGGCGAAGGCAGCCCCCUGGGUCAAGAUUGACGCUCAUGCACGAAAGCGUGGGGAGCAAACAGG
RNAcentral lists this ribosomal RNA (253 nucleotides) under uncultured bacterium. RNAcentral describes it as "partial 16S ribosomal RNA". It matches the Rfam family "Bacterial small subunit ribosomal RNA", at positions 524 to 776 of the family's 1533-position model. The record is from RNAcentral.